GUCGGGAUAGCUCAGCGGGUAGAGCAGAGGACUGAAAA
This 38-nucleotide transfer RNA is filed under the name Antidaphne andina. Its description in RNAcentral is "partial tRNA-Phe". Lineage: Eukaryota; Viridiplantae; Streptophyta; Magnoliopsida; Santalales; Santalaceae. The record is from RNAcentral.